RNAcentral lists this ribosomal RNA (834 nucleotides) under Polyplosphaeria hainanensis. RNAcentral describes it as "Polyplosphaeria sp. XT-2023b partial large subunit ribosomal RNA". It matches the Rfam family "Eukaryotic large subunit ribosomal RNA", at positions 67 to 919 of the family's 3401-position model. The record is from RNAcentral. Lineage: Eukaryota; Fungi; Ascomycota; Dothideomycetes; Pleosporales; Tetraplosphaeriaceae.
AACAGGGAUUGCCCUAGUAACGGCGAGUGAAGCGGCAACAGCUCAAAUUUGAAAUCUGGCUCCCUCGGGGCCCGAGUUGUAAUUUGUAGAGGGUGCUUUGGUGUUGGCCCCGGCCUAAGUUCCUUGGAACAGGACGUCAUAGAGGGUGAGAAUCCCGUAUGUGGCCAGCCGCCUUCGCCGUGUAAAGCCCCUUCGACGAGUCGAGUUGUUUGGGAAUGCAGCUCUAAAUGGGAGGUAAAUUUCUUCUAAAGCUAAAUAUUGGCCAGAGACCGAUAGCGCACAAGUAGAGUGAUCGAAAGAUGAAAAGCACUUUGGAAAGAGAGUCAAAAAGCACGUGAAAUUGUUGAAAGGGAAGCGCUUGCAGCCAGACUUGCCUGUAGUUGCUCAUCCGGGCUCUUGCCCGGUGCACUCUUCUGCAGGCAGGCCAGCAUCAGUUUGGGCGGCCAGAUAAAGGCCCCGGGAACGUAGCUCUCUCCGGGGAGUGUUAUAGCCCGAGGCGUCAUGUGGCCAGCCCGGACUGAGGCCCGCGCAUCUGCUAGGAUGCUGGCGUAAUGGCUGUAAGCGGCCCGUCUUGAAACACGGACCAAGGAGUCUAACAUCUAUGCGAGUGUUUGGGUGUCAAGCCCGGGCGCGCAAUGAAAGUGAACGGAGGUGGGAACCCUCUGGGGUGCACCAUCGACCGAUCCUGAUGUCUUCGGAUGGAUUUGAGUAAGAGCAUAGCUGUUGGGACCCGAAAGAUGGUGAACUAUGCCUGAAUAGGGUGAAGCCAGAGGAAACUCUGGUGGAGGCUCGCAGCGGUUCUGACGUGCAAAUCGAUCGUCAAAUUUGGGCAUA